UGUGAUAUAUUUUGUGUGAAAAACUGGAAAACAAAGUGCAUACCUGCAUAACCUCACUUAUCGCAGUUUUGCACAUUUUGAUGAUGGGAAUUGCGGUUCAAGUAAUUAUGAGUUAUAGAUGGAGCUCACUGUUUACUUCAAACUGAAGCCUUUUGGGUCCACUUUUUUCGUUGUUAUUUCCUGGUAGCGACUAUUGUUUCAAGCAGAAUGGGUGUAAAGUUAAAAAUAAUCCCAUAAAAUUGUUAAUAUAACUCCGUUGCACUGGCAUGGGGUAUUUGAAAACUUACGUU
Tribolium castaneum (red flour beetle) is the source of this 290-nucleotide long non-coding RNA. RefSeq lists it as uncharacterized. NCBI's taxonomy places the organism in Eukaryota, Metazoa, Arthropoda, Insecta, Coleoptera, Tenebrionidae. The record is from RefSeq and is a predicted model, not a curated record. The transcript is spliced from 2 exons.